RNAcentral lists this ribosomal RNA (55 nucleotides) under Psyttalia lounsburyi. RNAcentral's name for it is "partial 5.8S ribosomal RNA". Lineage: Eukaryota; Metazoa; Arthropoda; Insecta; Hymenoptera; Braconidae. The record is from RNAcentral.
AACAUCGACAUUUCGAACGCACAUUGCGGCCCACGGAUCUAAUUCCUGGACCACG